GGAACAGCAGCCAAUCCCAACCCUCUCUGAAUCUGGACUGGAGGAAUCUACUCAAAAACACCUGGGUGCCAAAUGGGGCGCAUCACUUGCCCAGGGAAGUGAGGGAAGGAGGCGACACCCCGGGAUUGGACCGGGUCUGUAUAAUAUAUAUUUUUUCUCCGGCUGGUGCAGAGUUCGCUCUCCUCUCCUCAAAAUUACCUUCGGCAAAGUUUGUCAGGACUUAUUGAGGCCUUGGCGCGCGUUUUGGCCCUUGCUGCGCUUGAGUCGACGACGCCACCUCCUUUUUUCCCCUCCGAAGGCGCGGACGCCUUUGAGAAGACACGGCCAAAACAACGACGCCAGAGCCAAGGGGGCAGGCAGGAAUUAACUGCUUAGCUCGGUAACUUAGCAAGCCAGUCAGUCCAUGCUUGAGGUGGAGGAGCCCAAAUUAUCAUGGCCACAAAACCCGAUUAUAAUAAUAAUAAACUCUGCAACCCAGACAAAACAUUUAUCUCCUCGCCGCUCUGCCACAAGGACCCGCGUGGUCAGGAUUCAUGGCGACCCUCCGAUUCUGUGGAGAAUUGUCUUUCCUCAUGCGUGCGUGAGAGAAAAAGAGAAGGAAAGGUGGAACCGCACUUCGGACACUUUAAUAAAGACUAGUUAAACUCUGGCAAGGGCUUGCAGCGCCAUCUUGGAUCGCGACUGCUCAGAAAGCAAGAGCUACAGAUUCCUGGACUCAAUCGAGCUCAGCUUCCUCCCGUUAGUUCUUAAUCUUGCUCCGGAGUUGGAGAGGCUGCUUGGCUCCUGGGCUUGCUAACCGAGCUUGACUUCACGAGAGUGCAGGAACACUCUUUGCGGGGCCCCCGCACAAAAGGCGAUGAUUUAAUGAGGAGGAGAAACAAACUGGCUGAUUGUUGGCGCUCGCAACUUCCUCGGGAGUCCCCCUGGCAGCCACAAGCUGAUCUCUGCGCCUUCAAUGCGGCUCGCCUUCGGGAGGAGAGGCCGGCCUGAAUAGAGGACAAAGGCGGCUUGUUCUGUUUAUUUACCCUCCCUACAAGCUGGGUUAACCUCUCCCAAACAGCCCAGGCUAAGCCCGUUAGCCGCACAGCCCAGAUGACCCGCUGCAGAAUCGCCACUGUCAUGCAAACGAGCCUCCUCGGGCCCCGACGAGAAGAUCCACCAGCUCCACCCUCUCCCCAAGCAAGCUGGAGGCGGGGCACCCAGGGGUGGGACUGCGGAAACACACAGGCUGGAUGCCAAGAAUAGGAGGCCAUUUGCAUGGAUUUGAUCAACAUCAAGUUCACAUUGCAAAAGAUGCAGGAAGAGAAAAGAAAUAACAUUUUUGGAGGGCAGAUGAAAAAGAACUCCACAAUCCUUAAUGCCAUUUUUGUGUGCCUAUCCAGUAUUAGGCUGUAGAAAACAGAAGGUACUUUUUUACCAUUGACUGCAAAGGGCUCUCUGUGUGUGGUUGUAAAUGUUAUCAGUUUUCAGAACUUCAUAGAAGAGGUGCUUUUAAGAUAUUAGAAUAAGACUCCUGAAAUAAUAAUAAAAAUUUGACAGCCGCUAUAUCUUUUCACACAUGUUUAUUGGAUUUAAAGGAAAUAAAAAAGAAAUGCCAAAAUAGGACAGAAGAGAACUAUUAUGUAGGAUGUGACUGUAUUAUGUGGCACUGGAAUUUCAGCAAAUAUUUUGGCUGAUAAAUGCAUUCAUAUAAAAUACAAAAUGGAGUGGUGUUUUAACCCACCUUUUUCCAGUUAUGUGACUUAUUCAAUUGAUAUAUGGCUUUAAGCAGAAAUGCCAGCUAAAUUAUAUUGAUGUUUCUUACCUUAAAAUUGAGUAAGCCCAUUGCUGUUUCCACAAAAGGGAGGAAAUUCAUAGGUUCUACAAGUACCCGGCCUUUUAAAUGGUGUGCAAAUUUCUCUGUAAACUAAGCACCGCAGAGGGAAAUGAUCAGUUUCGUUUUUAUAAAAAAAUAAAAUCUAUAAAAUGGUACGACUUA
Molecule: non-coding RNA, 1978 nt
Organism: Podarcis muralis (Common wall lizard)
Lineage: Eukaryota; Metazoa; Chordata; Lepidosauria; Squamata; Lacertidae
Source: RefSeq, a predicted model, not a curated record